RNAcentral lists this ribosomal RNA (578 nucleotides) under uncultured bacterium. Its description in RNAcentral is "bacterial SSU rRNA". It matches the Rfam family "Bacterial small subunit ribosomal RNA", at positions 102 to 667 of the family's 1533-position model. The record is from RNAcentral.
ACGGGUGAGUAACACGUGGAUAACCUACCUAUAAGACUGGGAUAACUUCGGGAAACCGGAGCUAAUACCGGAUAACAUAUUGAACCGCAUGGUUCAAUAGUGAAAGGCGGCUUUGCUGUCACUUAUAGAUGGAUCCGCGCCGUAUUAGCUAGUUGGUAAGGUAACGGCUUACCAAGGCAACGAUACGUAGCCGACCUGAGAGGGUGAUCGGCCACACUGGAACUGAGACACGGUCCAGACUCCUACGGGAGGCAGCAGUAGGGAAUCUUCCGCAAUGGGCGAAAGCCUGACGGAGCAACGCCGCGUGAGUGAUGAAGGUCUUCGGAUCGUAAAACUCUGUUAUCAGGGAAGAACAAAUGUGUAAGUAACUGUGCACAUCUUGACGGUACCUGAUCAGAAAGCCACGGCUAACUACGUGCCAGCAGCCGCGGUAAUACGUAGGUGGCAAGCGUUAUCCGGAAUUAUUGGGCGUAAAGCGCGCGUAGGCGGUUUUUUAAGUCUGAUGUGAAAGCCCACGGCUCAACCGUGGAGGGUCAUUGGAAACUGGAAAACUUGAGUGCAGAAGAGGAAAGUGGAAU